Molecule: ribosomal RNA, 253 nt
Filed under: uncultured bacterium
Lineage: Bacteria
Description: partial 16S ribosomal RNA
Rfam family: Bacterial small subunit ribosomal RNA
Source: RNAcentral
UACAGAGGUCUCAAGCGUUGUUCGGAUUCAUUGGGCGUAAAGGGUGCGUAGGUGGCGCGGUAAGUCGGGUGUGAAAUUUCGGAGCUUAACUCCGAAACUGCAUUCGAUACUGCCGUGCUUGAGGACUGGAGAGGAGACUGGAAUUUACGGUGUAGCAGUGAAAUGCGUAGAGAUCGUAAGGAAGACCAGUGGCGAAGGCGGGUCUCUGGACAGUUCCUGACACUGAGGCACGAAGGCCAGGAGAGCAAACGGG